UGAAGCCGACGUUUAACGAUUGUCACCUGUUUGUCAACAAUGGACAAAAAAAUCAACAAAAAAGCACGGAAAUUGAGCACGUGUUUAACAUGUAGAUUCAGAUAAUAGUUUAUUUUAAGGACAUCCAUGCGUAUUGUGAUCACCGGAUUUUUACGAGAUUGGUCACAAUGAGAUCACUUUGCAUACGGAAAAUAUGUCGGAGG
This 203-nucleotide long non-coding RNA is filed under the name Mytilus galloprovincialis (Mediterranean mussel). Lineage: Eukaryota; Metazoa; Mollusca; Bivalvia; Mytilida; Mytilidae. The record is from RNAcentral.